UACGUAGGGUGCGAGCGUUGUCCGGAAUUAUUGGGCGUAAAGGGCUCGUAGGCGGUUUGUCGCGUCGGGAGUGAAAUCCACUGGCUUAACUGGUGGCUUGCCUUCGAUACGGGCAGACUGGAGGUAUGCAGGGGAGAACGGAAUUCCUGGUGUAGCGGUGAAAUGCGCAGAUAUCAGGAGGAACACCGGUGGCGAAGGCGGUUCUCUGGGCCGAUACUGACGCUGAGGAGCGAAAGCCAGGGGAGCAAACGGG
RNAcentral lists this ribosomal RNA (253 nucleotides) under uncultured bacterium. Its description in RNAcentral is "partial 16S ribosomal RNA". It matches the Rfam family "Bacterial small subunit ribosomal RNA", at positions 524 to 776 of the family's 1533-position model. The record is from RNAcentral.